UACGAAGGGGGCGAGCGUUGUUCGGAAUCACUGGGCGUAAAGCGUGCGUAGGCGGUUAUGAAAGUUAGGUGUGAAAGCCCAGGGCUUAACCUUGGAAUUGCACUUAAAACUACAUAACUCGAAUUCGGGAGAGGAUAGCGGAAUUGUCAGUGUAGCAGUGAAAUGCGUAGAUAUUGACAGGAACACCAGUGGCGUAAGCGGCUAUCUGGCCCGACAUUGACGCUGAGGCACGAAAGCGUGGGGAUCAAAC
RNAcentral lists this ribosomal RNA (250 nucleotides) under uncultured bacterium. Its description in RNAcentral is "partial 16S ribosomal RNA". It matches the Rfam family "Bacterial small subunit ribosomal RNA", at positions 524 to 773 of the family's 1533-position model. The record is from RNAcentral.